This 466-nucleotide ribosomal RNA is filed under the name uncultured bacterium. Its description in RNAcentral is "partial 16S ribosomal RNA". It matches the Rfam family "Bacterial small subunit ribosomal RNA", at positions 28 to 507 of the family's 1533-position model. The record is from RNAcentral.
GAUGAACGCUGGCGGCGUGCUUAAUACAUGCAAGUCGAACGAUGGAGCGCAGCUUUCUGUGUGGUGUAGUUGCGAACGGGUGAGUAAGAAGUGAGUAACCUGCCUUUCUCUCUGGCAUAAGCAAGUGCAACUGGGUGUAAUUCCUAACAGGAGCUUUUAUCGCAUGGAGGGUUUUGGAAUGAUUUAUCGGCUUGGGCUGGACUCGCGGCCUAUCAGCGUUUUGGUGAGGUAAUGGCUAACUAAGGCGUCGACGGGUAGCCGGCCUGUGAGGGUGACCGGCCACACUGGGACUGAGACACGGACCAGACUCCUACCGGAGGCAGCAGUGGGGAAUAUUGCACAGUGGGCGCAAGCCAGAUGCAGCGACGCCGCGUGAGGGAUGCCGUCCUUCGAGUUGUAAACAUCUUUCAGUAGGGAAGAAGAGAAAGUGACGGUACCUGAACAAGAAGCCCCGGCUAACUACGUG